GAAAUUUGUUUUGCCAGUAGAAAAUGAAAACAACACGUUUUAUAAAUUUCAUGCGUUCGAAGCGCUUUUCUGGAUUUACCUGAUUUAAGUGACUAAAAGAUGUUUCAACGAGAAAAUCGCAAUGUUUCAAACGUUUUGUAUUUUGCAAAAACGUUUCAGUUAAUUUGUUUGAAACUGCUGUUAAUUAUAGAUGAUUAUAGAUUCGAUCAAAUAAAUUUGAGAGCGCCGA
This 229-nucleotide long non-coding RNA is filed under the name Mytilus galloprovincialis (Mediterranean mussel). Lineage: Eukaryota; Metazoa; Mollusca; Bivalvia; Mytilida; Mytilidae. The record is from RNAcentral.